Molecule: ribosomal RNA, 500 nt
Filed under: uncultured bacterium
Lineage: Bacteria
Description: partial 16S ribosomal RNA
Rfam family: Bacterial small subunit ribosomal RNA
Source: RNAcentral
AUUGAACGCUGGCGGCAUGCUUUACACAUGCAAGCCGAACGGUAACAGGGUGCUUGCACCGCUGACGAGUGGCGAACGGGUGAGUAAUGCGUCGGAACGUGCCGAGUAGUGGGGGAUAACGCAGCGAAAGUUGUGCUAAUACCGCAUACGUACUGAGGUAGAAAGUGGGGGACCUUCGGGCCUCACGCUAUUCGAGCGGCCGACGUCUGAUUAGCUAGUAGGUGAGGUAAAGGCUCACCUAGGCGACGAUCAGUAGCGGGGCUGAGAGGAUGAUCCGCCACACUGGGACUGAGACACGGCCCAGACUCCUACGGGAGGCAGCAGUGGGGAAUUUUGGACAAUGGGCGAAAGCCUGAUCCAGCCAUGCCGCGUGUCUGAAGAAGGCCUUCGGGUUGUAAAGGACUUUUGUCAGGGAGGAAAUCCCUAGUGCUAAUAACACUGGGGGAUGACAGUACCUGAAGAAUAAGUACCGGCUAACUACGUGCCAGCAGCCGCCGUAA